GACGUCCUUAUCUCGGGGACACGCAAGGACAGUGAUCGUAAUGUGAGUCCUUGUUGUGCUACGCCCAUGAUAUCAGUGCUGCAUCAUGGUAACCUACCAUGUUGCAAUUUUUGUAGUC
This is a small nuclear RNA of Cherax quadricarinatus, 118 nucleotides long. RefSeq annotates it as U4atac minor spliceosomal RNA. The record is from RefSeq and is a predicted model, not a curated record. Lineage: Eukaryota; Metazoa; Arthropoda; Malacostraca; Decapoda; Parastacidae.